GAGAGCAACAUGGGCGACCCCAUCCUGCCCACAGGUUGUGUGUGAGGCUCAGAGGGGCACCGGUGACUGUCACUACUAAUAACGGUCCUUCAGCACUGCCCUGACCUAGGACAUCCAGCUCCCAAGGACAGACCGGUGACCACACCCACCCAGCAUGCUGAGCUAUGCCCAAGCCGGUAGGACGAUCACCUCCUCAGCUCACUUGCUUUGCUCCAGGGACCAGGAUUCUUAUGGCCACCAGCCAGGCCCGUUCUGGGGACAUGUGGUCAAUUUAACUCCAUCCCACACCCCCACUGCAGCCGGGAUGCAGUGUCUCACCUUGGCGGAUGGGGAGCCGCUCAUGAUGCAGGCCUUGGUUUUCUCAUCUCAAAAAUGAAGGGGAGUCACCUUGCCCUGCCUGCUUUAUGGGUGAAUGGACGUGCAGGCUCUUGGGAAAUGAGCGUGUGCAGGGAACACGAAGACAAGCCAGGAUAGGGGCUCUGGAGGCUGGGGCCCGGGUGUUGAGCCACCAAAAACAGUGCCCCGUGUGGAGCCCCCAGCUGACACCCUGCAGCCUCCUCCAGCCCUGUGCAAGGCUCAGCUCCCAGCCUACCUUUCCCCCUGCGAGGACCGCGCCAAAGAGGUGGAUGAGACGCAACAGCAGCAUGGGAG
Molecule: long non-coding RNA, 651 nt
Organism: Lemur catta (Ring-tailed lemur)
Lineage: Eukaryota; Metazoa; Chordata; Mammalia; Primates; Lemuridae
Exons: 4
Source: RefSeq, a predicted model, not a curated record